AAAGAACCAACAGGGAUUGCCCCAGUAACGGCGAGUGAAGCGGCAAGAGCUCAAAUUUGAAAUCUGGCCCCUCCGGGGUCCGAGUUGUAAUUUGCAGAGGAUGCUUCGGGCGCGGUCCCCGUCUAAGUACCCUGGAACGGGUCGUCAUAGAGGGUGAGAAUCCCGUCUGGGACGGGUGGCCGUGUCCGUGUGAAGCUCCUUCGACGAGUCGAGUUGUUUGGGAAUGCAGCUCUAAAUGGGUGGUAAAUUUCAUCUAAAGCUAAAUAUUGGCCGGAGACCGAUAGCGCACAAGUAGAGUGAUCGAAAGAUGAAAAGCACUUUGAAAAGAGAGUUAAACAGCACGUGAAAUUGUUGAAAGGGAAGCGCUUGCGACCAGACUCGCCCGCGGGGGUUCAGCCGGUACUCGUACCGGUGUACUCCCCCGGGGGCGGGCCAGCGUCGGUUUGGGCGGUCGGUCAAAGGCCUCCGGAAUGUGUCGCCCCCCGGGGCGUCUUAUAGCCGGAGGUGCAAUGCGGCCAGCCUGGACCGAGGAACGCGCUUCGGCUCGGACGCUGGCGUAAUGGUCGAAGCG
RNAcentral lists this ribosomal RNA (571 nucleotides) under Paecilomyces variotii. RNAcentral describes it as "eukaryotic LSU rRNA". It matches the Rfam family "Eukaryotic large subunit ribosomal RNA", at positions 58 to 646 of the family's 3401-position model. The record is from RNAcentral. Lineage: Eukaryota; Fungi; Ascomycota; Eurotiomycetes; Eurotiales; Thermoascaceae.